AUAUCAAUAAGCGGAGGAAAAGAAACCAACAGGGAUUGCCUCAGUAACGGCGAGUGAAGCGGCAACAGCUCAAAUUUGAAAUCUGGCUCUUUCGGGGUCCGAGUUGUAAUUUGUAGAAGAUGCUUCGGGUGUGGCUCCGGUCUAAGUUCCUUGGAACAGGACGUCAUAGAGGGUGAGAAUCCCGUAUGUGACUGGCUGCCUCCGCCCAUGUGAAGCUCUUUCGACGAGUCGAGUUGUUUGGGAAUGCAGCUCAAAAUGGGUGGUAAAUUUCAUCUAAAGCUAAAUAUUGGCCAGAGACCGAUAGCGCACAAGUACCGUGAGGGAAAGAUGAAAAGCACUUUGGAAAGAGAGUUAAACAGUAC
This 362-nucleotide ribosomal RNA is filed under the name uncultured fungus. RNAcentral describes it as "eukaryotic LSU rRNA". It matches the Rfam family "Eukaryotic large subunit ribosomal RNA", at positions 40 to 398 of the family's 3401-position model. Lineage: Eukaryota; Fungi. The record is from RNAcentral.